Molecule: ribosomal RNA, 407 nt
Filed under: uncultured bacterium
Lineage: Bacteria
Description: partial 16S ribosomal RNA
Rfam family: Bacterial small subunit ribosomal RNA
Source: RNAcentral
GACGAACGCUGGCGGCGGGCCUAAUACAUGCAAGUAGAACGCAGUUGCGAACGGGUGAGUAACGAGUCGGUAACUGCCUGGGAGCGGGGGAUAACUAUUGGAAACGAUAGCUCAUACCGCAUCCUGCCAGAUGGACCUGCGUUGUAUUAGCUAGUUGGUGGGGUACCGGCUUACCAAGGCAACGAUACAUAGUCGAGCUGAGGGGGUGAUCGGCCACACUGGGAAUGAGAACCGGCCCAGACUCCUACGGGAGGCAGCAGUAGGGAAUCGUCGGCAAUGGGGGGAACCCUGACCGAGCAACGCCGCGUGAGUGAUGAAGGUUUUCGGAUUGUAAAGCUCUGUUAUUAGGUAAGCGGUACUUAAACAGAAAGGGACGGCUAACUACGUGCCAGCCGCCGCGGUAAUAC